AUGAACGCUGGCGGCGUGCCUAAUACAUGCAAGUCGAGCGAACAGACGAGGAGCUUGCUCCUCUGACGUUAGCGGCGGACGGGUGAGUAACACGUGGAUAACCUACCUAUAAGACUGGGAUAACUUCGGGAAACCGGAGCGAAUACCGGAUAAUAUAUUGAACCGCAUGGUUCAAUAGUGAAAGACGGUUUUGCUGUAACUUAUAGAUGGAUCCGCGCCGCAUUAGCUAGUUGGUAAGGUAACGGCUUACCAAGGCAACGAUGCGUAGCCGACCUGAGAGGGUGGUCGGCCACACUGGAACCGAGACACGGUCCAGACUCCUACGGGAGGCAGCAGUAGGGAAUCUUCCGCAAUGGGCGAAAGCCUGACGGAGCAACGCCGCGUGAGUGAUGAAGGUCUUCGGAUCGUAAAACUCUGUUAUUAGGGAAGAACAAAUGUGUAAGUAACUAUGCACGUCUUGACGGUACCUAAUCAGAAAGCCACGGCUAACUACGUG
Molecule: ribosomal RNA, 496 nt
Filed under: uncultured bacterium
Lineage: Bacteria
Description: partial 16S ribosomal RNA
Rfam family: Bacterial small subunit ribosomal RNA
Source: RNAcentral